RNAcentral lists this ribosomal RNA (426 nucleotides) under uncultured bacterium. RNAcentral describes it as "bacterial SSU rRNA". It matches the Rfam family "Bacterial small subunit ribosomal RNA", at positions 354 to 796 of the family's 1533-position model. The record is from RNAcentral.
GUCGAGAAUCUUCCGCAAUGGGGGAAACCCUGACGGAGCGACGCCGCGUGCGGGACGAAGGUCUUCGGAUUGUAAACCGCUGUCACCUGGGAUGAACAUUGACCGUACCAGGAGAGGAAGCCACGGCUAACUACGUGCCAGCAGCCGCGGUAAUACGUAGGUGGCGAGCGUUAUUCGGAUUUAUUGGGCGUAAAGGGUCCGUAGGGGGUCUGGUGUGGCCGGUGUGAAAGCUCAAGGCUCAACCUUGAAAUGGCACCGGCGACUACCGGGCUUGAGUGCCGCAGAGGAAAGUGGAAUUCCUGGUGUAGCGGUGGAAUGCGUAGAUAUCAGGAGGAACACCGAAGGCGAAGGCAGCUUUCUGGGCGGCAACUGACCCUGAGGGACGAAAGCUGGGGGAGCAAACAGGAUUAGAAACCCGGGUAGUCC